GGGCUCGUAGCUCAGCCUGGACAGAGCACCGGACUUUUAAUCCGGGUGUCGCGGGUUCAACUCCCGUCGAGCCCA
This 75-nucleotide transfer RNA is filed under the name Nanobdellota archaeon. Its description in RNAcentral is "tRNA-Lys". It matches the Rfam family "tRNA". From Rfam's summary of the family: Transfer RNA (tRNA) molecules are approximately 80 nucleotides in length. Lineage: Archaea; Nanobdellati; Nanobdellota. RNAcentral also lists the same sequence under 1 other name. The record is from RNAcentral.